This 77-nucleotide transfer RNA is filed under the name Acholeplasmataceae bacterium. Its description in RNAcentral is "tRNA-Arg". It matches the Rfam family "tRNA". Rfam says of the family: Transfer RNA (tRNA) molecules are approximately 80 nucleotides in length. Their secondary structure includes four short double-helical elements and three loops (D, anti-codon, and T loops). The record is from RNAcentral. Lineage: Bacteria; Bacillati; Mycoplasmatota; Mollicutes; Acholeplasmatales; Acholeplasmataceae.
GCAUCCAUAGCUCAAUUGGAUAGAGCAUCACCCUCCGACGGUGAAGGUUCCAGGUUUGAACCCUGGUGGAUGCGCCA